CAAGUCGAACGAGACCUUCGGGUCUAGUGGCGCACGGGUGCGUAACACGUGGGAAUUUGCCUCGGGGUAUGGAAUAACUCAGGGAAACUUGAGCUAAUACCAUAUAAUGUCUUCGGACCAAAGAUUUAUCGCCCUGAGAUAAGCCCGCGUAGGAUUAGCUAGUUGGUGGGGUAAAGGCUCACCAAGGCGACGAUCCUUAGCUGGUCUGAGAGGAUGAUCAGCCACACUAGGACUGAGACACGGCCCAGACUCCUACGGGAGGCAGCAGUGGGGAAUAUUGGACAAUGGGCGAAAGCCUGAUCCAGCAAUGCCGCGUGAGUGAUGAAGGCCUUAGGGUUGUAAAGCUCUUUUACCCGGGAUGAUAAUGACAGUACCGGGAGAAUAAGCUCCGGCUAACUCCGUG
RNAcentral lists this ribosomal RNA (403 nucleotides) under uncultured bacterium. RNAcentral's name for it is "bacterial SSU rRNA". It matches the Rfam family "Bacterial small subunit ribosomal RNA", at positions 58 to 507 of the family's 1533-position model. The record is from RNAcentral.